This 492-nucleotide ribosomal RNA is filed under the name uncultured bacterium. RNAcentral's name for it is "partial 16S ribosomal RNA". It matches the Rfam family "Bacterial small subunit ribosomal RNA", at positions 29 to 507 of the family's 1533-position model. The record is from RNAcentral.
AGUGAACGCUGGCGGUAGGCCUAACACAUGCAAGUCGAACGGCAGCACAGUAAGAGCUUGCUCUUACGGGUGGCGAGUGGCGGACGGGUGAGGAAUACAUCGGAAUCUACUUUUUCGUGGGGGAUAACGUAGGGAAACUUACGCUAAUACCGCAUACGACCUACGGGUGAAAGCAGGGGAUCUUCGGACCUUGCGCGAUUGAAUGAGCCGAUGUCGGAUUAGCUAGUUGGCGGGGUAAAGGCCCACCAAGGCGACGAUCCGUAGCUGGUCUGAGAGGAUGAUCAGCCACACUGGAACUGGGACACGGUCCAGACUCCUACGGGAGGCAGCAGUGGGGAAUAUUGGACAAUGGGCGCAAGCCUGAUCCAGCCAUACCGCGUGGGUGAAGAAGGCCUUCGGGUUGUAAAGCCCUUUUGUUGGGAAAGAAAAGCAGCAGGUUAAUACCCCGCUGUUCUGACGGUACCCAAAGUAUAAGCACCGGCUAACUUCGUG